AGAGUUUGAUCCUGGCUCAGAAUGAACGCUGGCGGCGUGCCUAACACAUGCAAGUCGAACGAGAAAACCCCGUAAGGGGUGAGUAAAGUGGCGGACUGGUGCGUAACGCGUGGGAAUCUACCCUUUAGUGAAGAAUAACCUCGAGAAAUCGAGAUUAAUACUGCAUAAGUCCCUUUGGGGAGAAAGAUGGCCUCUUUGCCAUCGCUGAAGGAUGAGCCUGCGUACUAUUAGCUAGUUGGUAGGGUAAUGGCCUACCAAAGCGAUGAUGGUUAACCGGCCUGAGAGGGUGGUCGGUCACAUUGGGACUGAGAUAUGGCCCAGACUCCUACGGGAGGCAGCAGUGGGGGAUAUUGCACAAUGGGCGCAAGCUUGAUGCAGCGACGCCGCGUGGAGGAUGACGGUCUUCGGAUUGUAAACUCCUGUUAAGCGGGAAGAAAUCUUUACGAGUAAUAUGCGUAGAGGAUGACGGUACCGCUAGAGAGAGCUCCGGCUAACUUCGUGCCAGCAGCCGCGGUAAGACGAAGGGAGCAAGCGUUAUUCGGAAUUACUGGGCGUAAAGAGCGUGUAGGCGGUUAAUUAAGUCAAUUGUUAAAUCCCCUGGCUUAACUAGGGAUCAGCAAUCGAUACUGGUUGACUUGAGGGCAAGAGAGAGAAGUGGAAUUCUCGGAGUAGCGGUAAAAUGCAUAGAUCUCGAGAGGAACACCGGUUGCGAAGGCGGCUUCUUGGCUUGCAUCUGACGCUAAAGCGCGAAAGCGUGGGGAGCAAACAGGAUUAGAUACCCUGGUAGUCCACGCCGUAAA
RNAcentral lists this ribosomal RNA (800 nucleotides) under uncultured bacterium. RNAcentral describes it as "bacterial SSU rRNA". It matches the Rfam family "Bacterial small subunit ribosomal RNA", at positions 8 to 806 of the family's 1533-position model. The record is from RNAcentral.